GGAGAGAUACCAAAGUGGCCAAAUGGGGCGGACUGUAAAUCCGUUGCGUAAGCUUCGAAGGUUCGAAUCCUUCUCUCUCCACCA
Molecule: transfer RNA, 84 nt
Filed under: Tumebacillus amylolyticus
Lineage: Bacteria; Bacillati; Bacillota; Bacilli; Caryophanales; Alicyclobacillaceae
Description: tRNA-Tyr
Rfam family: tRNA
About the family: Transfer RNA (tRNA) molecules are approximately 80 nucleotides in length. Their secondary structure includes four short double-helical elements and three loops (D, anti-codon, and T loops).
Source: RNAcentral